RNAcentral lists this non-coding RNA (273 nucleotides) under Hespellia stercorisuis. RNAcentral's name for it is "T-box sequence". It matches the Rfam family "T-box leader". Rfam says of the family: Uncharged tRNA acts as the effector for transcription antitermination of genes in the T-box leader family. T-boxes are found upstream of many aminoacyl-tRNA synthetase genes and some amino acid biosynthetic genes usually in Gram-positive bacteria. The anticodon of a specific tRNA base pairs to a specifier sequence within the T-box motif, and the NCCA acceptor tail of the tRNA base pairs to a conserved bulge in the T-box antiterminator hairpin. The record is from RNAcentral. Lineage: Bacteria; Bacillati; Bacillota; Clostridia; Lachnospirales; Lachnospiraceae.
AUAAAAACAUGGAUGAGGAGUAGUAAGAGCGUAUCCGUUUUCAGAGAACUGCCGGGUGGUGUGAGGCAGCAGCGUAAUCUCCCAACUCACCUCGGAGUUCCUUUGUUGAACGAAUCGGCCGGCGACGCUUUUUUGAGGCAGUACGUACGGUGAGAUUUCCGGUAGGCAGAGGCGGGUGUUCCCGUUACAGAAUCAAUGAGUGCAUGUUUUAUAUAGAGCAGAGACAUGAAUGAGAGUGGUACCACGGAAAAUAAAAGCCUUUUCGUCUCUUUU